RNAcentral lists this RNase P RNA (408 nucleotides) under Corynebacterium stercoris. RNAcentral describes it as "RNase P RNA component class A". It matches the Rfam family "Bacterial RNase P class A". From Rfam's summary of the family: Ribonuclease P (RNase P) is a ubiquitous endoribonuclease, found in archaea, bacteria and eukarya as well as chloroplasts and mitochondria. Its best characterised activity is the generation of mature 5'-ends of tRNAs by cleaving the 5'-leader elements of precursor-tRNAs. Lineage: Bacteria; Bacillati; Actinomycetota; Actinomycetes; Mycobacteriales; Corynebacteriaceae. The record is from RNAcentral.
UGAGUCGGCCGGGUGAUCGCGGCGCGCCGUACCGCCACGCAUGUGGGCUGGCGGCGGUCGAGGAAAGUCCGGACUCCGCAGGGCACGGUGGUUGCUAACGGCAACCCGGAGCGAUCCGCGGGAAAGUGCAACAGAGAGUAGACCGCCCAGCGUGCUGGGUAAGGGUGAAAGGGUGCGGUAAGAGCGCACCGGCGCGGCUGGUGACAGCUGCGGCCAGGUAAACCCCACCGGGAGCAAGGCAAGAGCCGCUGCCAGUAGUUGGCAGAGGUCGUCGGACGCGAUGAGGCUGCCCGCCCAUGUCCGAAGGUAGCUGCUUGAGGCCCCCAGCGAUGGGAGGUCCAGAUGGAUGAUCGCCACCCGCAGCGCUCGCUACGGGAACAGAAUCCGGCUCAUAGGCCGGCUCAUUCG